GGCCAACCUAUUGGUGUGAAUAGAGCUUGUCUUGCAAGUUAUUGUGGCUCCCUUGUUAGAGAUCCUCUUAAUGCCCCACUUCAAAAGUUGAAAGUAUUUUCAUAAAUUCCAGAAGAGAAUAAGGAGAAGAUGUGGGAUCUUGUUCUGGAAAAAUUCGAUAUUGGACUUGAGGAUGAUCAAGAUGAAGGGGAACGUGAAAAAAUAAAAAAAAGAAAGGAAAACAUACAUCAUGGGGUCUUUGAAUAAAAAAUACAGGAAUUAUCGUGCAAGACUGAAAGCUGAUUAUUAUGAUAUUGAGAGCACAGACGAGGAGAGGCUUAAAGAAGAAAACAGGCCACCAAAUGUUGACAAAGAUGACUGGGAAUGGCUUGUUGAGUACUUUGGAUCAGACGAGUUUAAGGGUAAGAGUACAAGAAAUACCGAAAAUCGAUCUUACCAAGAUGCCAGAC
Molecule: long non-coding RNA, 449 nt
Organism: Spinacia oleracea (spinach)
Lineage: Eukaryota; Viridiplantae; Streptophyta; Magnoliopsida; Caryophyllales; Amaranthaceae
Exons: 3
Source: RefSeq, a predicted model, not a curated record